GGCAAGGAGAGUUCCAUAUCUAGCUAAGGUGGCACCUAAAAGAUCAUUGACCCCACCUUCAUCGACAAACUAAGGAACAAUGGCAUGGGCUCACGAUAAGCAAUAGUCCAAAAAGACCCAAAUGAAGGAGAUCCAUCCUCCAGAACAUCACAAUCCCUUUGUGGUUCCAUCUAAGUUUGAUCUUUUGAGGGACAAAGGUAGUCAAGA
This 207-nucleotide long non-coding RNA is filed under the name Elaeis guineensis (African oil palm). Its description in RNAcentral is "long non-coding RNA (EGUI_LNC014893)". Lineage: Eukaryota; Viridiplantae; Streptophyta; Magnoliopsida; Arecales; Arecaceae. The record is from RNAcentral.